RNAcentral lists this ribosomal RNA (1410 nucleotides) under Akkermansia muciniphila. Its description in RNAcentral is "bacterial SSU rRNA". It matches the Rfam family "Bacterial small subunit ribosomal RNA". Lineage: Bacteria; Pseudomonadati; Verrucomicrobiota; Verrucomicrobiia; Verrucomicrobiales; Akkermansiaceae. The record is from RNAcentral.
CUCAGAACGAACGCUGGCGGCGUGGAUAAGACAUGCAAGUCGAACGAGAGAAUUGCUAGCUUGCUAAUAAUUCUCUAGUGGCGCACGGGUGAGUAACACGUGAGUAACCUGCCCCCGAGAGCGGGAUAGCCCUGGGAAACUGGGAUUAAUACCGCAUAGUAUCGAAAGAUUAAAGCAGCAAUGCGCUUGGGGAUGGGCUCGCGGCCUAUUAGUUAGUUGGUGAGGUAACGGCUCACCAAGGCGAUGACGGGUAGCCGGUCUGAGAGGAUGUCCGGCCACACUGGAACUGAGACACGGUCCAGACACCUACGGGUGGCAGCAGUCGAGAAUCAUUCACAAUGGGGGAAACCCUGAUGGUGCGACGCCGCGUGGGGGAAUGAAGGUCUUCGGAUUGUAAACCCCUGUCAUGUGGGAGCAAAUUAAAAAGAUAGUACCACAAGAGGAAGAGACGGCUAACUCUGUGCCAGCAGCCGCGGUAAUACAGAGGUCUCAAGCGUUGUUCGGAAUCACUGGGCGUAAAGCGUGCGUAGGCUGUUUCGUAAGUCGUGUGUGAAAGGCGCGGGCUCAACCCGCGGACGGCACAUGAUACUGCGAGACUAGAGUAAUGGAGGGGGAACCGGAAUUCUCGGUGUAGCAGUGAAAUGCGUAGAUAUCGAGAGGAACACUCGUGGCGAAGGCGGGUUCCUGGACAUUAACUGACGCUGAGGCACGAAGGCCAGGGGAGCGAAAGGGAUUAGAUACCCCUGUAGUCCUGGCAGUAAACGGUGCACGCUUGGUGUGCGGGGAAUCGACCCCCUGCGUGCCGGAGCUAACGCGUUAAGCGUGCCGCCUNGGGGAGUACGGUCGCAAGAUUAAAACUCAAAGAAAUUGACGGGGACCCGCACAAGCGGUGGAGUAUGUGGCUUAAUUCGAUGCAACGCGAAGAACCUUACCUGGGCUUGACAUGUAAUGAACAACAUGUGAAAGCAUGCGACUCUUCGGAGGCGUUACACAGGUGCUGCAUGGCCGUCGUCAGCUCGUGUCGUGAGAUGUUUGGUUAAGUCCAGCAACGAGCGCAACCCCUGUUGCCAGUUACCAGCACGUGAAGGUGGGGACUCUGGCGAGACUGCCCAGAUCAACUGGGAGGAAGGUGGGGACGACGUCAGGUCAGUAUGGCCCUUAUGCCCAGGGCUGCACACGUACUACAAUGCCCAGUACAGAGGGGGCCGAAGCCGCGAGGCGGAGGAAAUCCUGAAAACUGGGCCCAGUUCGGACUGUAGGCUGCAACCCGCCUACACGAAGCCGGAAUCGCUAGUAAUGGCGCAUCAGCUACGGCGCCGUGAAUACGUUCCCGGGUCUUGUACACACCGCCCGUCACAUCAUGGAAGCCGGUCGCACCCGAAGUAUCUGAAGCCAACCGCAAGGAGGCAG